RNAcentral lists this ribosomal RNA (2925 nucleotides) under Klebsiella quasipneumoniae. RNAcentral's name for it is "23S ribosomal RNA". It matches the Rfam family "Bacterial large subunit ribosomal RNA". The record is from RNAcentral. Lineage: Bacteria; Pseudomonadati; Pseudomonadota; Gammaproteobacteria; Enterobacterales; Enterobacteriaceae.
GGGUUGUGAGGUUAAGCGACUAAGCGUACACGGUGGAUGCCCUGGCAGUCAGAGGCGAUGAAGGACGUGCUAAUCUGCGAAAAGCGUCGGUAAGGUGAUAUGAACCGUUAUAACCGGCGAUGUCCGAAUGGGGAAACCCAGUGUGAUUCGUCACACUAUCGUUAACUGAAUACAUAGGUUAACGAGGCGAACCGGGGGAACUGAAACAUCUAAGUACCCCGAGGAAAAGAAAUCAACCGAGAUUCCCCCAGUAGCGGCGAGCGAACGGGGAGCAGCCCAGAGUCUGAAUCAGCUUGUGUGUUAGUGGAACGGUCUGGAAAGUCCGACGGUACAGGGUGAUAGUCCCGUACACCAAAAUGCACAGGUUGUGAACUCGAAGAGUAGGGCGGGACACGUGGUAUCCUGUCUGAAUAUGGGGGGACCAUCCUCCAAGGCUAAAUACUCCUGACUGACCGAUAGUGAACCAGUACCGUGAGGGAAAGGCGAAAAGAACCCCGGCGAGGGGAGUGAAAAAGAACCUGAAACCGUGUACGUACAAGCAGUGGGAGCACCUUUAUGGUGUGACUGCGUACCUUUUGUAUAAUGGGUCAGCGACUUAUAUUCUGUAGCAAGGUUAACCGUAUAGGGGAGCCGCAGGGAAACCGAGUCUUAACUGGGCGUUAAGUUGCAGGGUAUAGACCCGAAACCCGGUGAUCUAGCCAUGGGCAGGUUGAAGGUUGGGUAACACUAACUGGAGGACCGAACCGACUAAUGUUGAAAAAUUAGCGGAUGACUUGUGGCUGGGGGUGAAAGGCCAAUCAAACCGGGAGAUAGCUGGUUCUCCCCGAAAGCUAUUUAGGUAGCGCCUCGUGAACUCAUCUUCGGGGGUAGAGCACUGUUUCGGCUAGGGGGUCAUCCCGACUUACCAACCCGAUGCAAACUACGAAUACCGAAGAAUGUUAUCACGGGAGACACACGGCGGGUGCUAACGUCCGUCGUGAAGAGGGAAACAACCCAGACCGCCAGCUAAGGUCCCAAAGUCAUGGUUAAGUGGGAAACGAUGUGGGAAGGCACAGACAGCCAGGAUGUUGGCUUAGAAGCAGCCAUCAUUUAAAGAAAGCGUAAUAGCUCACUGGUCGAGUCGGCCUGCGCGGAAGAUGUAACGGGGCUAAACCAUGCACCGAAGCUGCGGCAGCGACGCUUAUGCGUUGUUGGGUAGGGGAGCGUUCUGUAAGCCUGCGAAGGUGACCUGUGAGGGUUGCUGGAGGUAUCAGAAGUGCGAAUGCUGACAUAAGUAACGAUAAAGCGGGUGAAAAGCCCGCUCGCCGGAAGACCAAGGGUUCCUGUCCAACGUUAAUCGGGGCAGGGUGAGUCGACCCCUAAGGCGAGGCCGAAAGGCGUAGUCGAUGGGAAACAGGUUAAUAUUCCUGUACUUGGUGUUACUGCGAAGGGGGGACGGAGAAGGCUAUGUUAGCCGGGCGACGGUUGUCCCGGUUUAAGCAUGUAGGCUGAUUAUCCAGGCAAAUCCGGAUAAUCAAGGCUGAGGUGUGAUGACGAGGCACUACGGUGCUGAAGUAACAAAUGCCCUGCUUCCAGGAAAAGCCUCUAAGCAUCAGGUAACAUCAAAUCGUACCCCAAACCGACACAGGUGGUCAGGUAGAGAAUACCAAGGCGCUUGAGAGAACUCGGGUGAAGGAACUAGGCAAAAUGGUGCCGUAACUUCGGGAGAAGGCACGCUGGUGUGUAGGUGAAGUCCCUGCGGAUGGAGCUGAGACCAGUCGAAGAUACCAGCUGGCUGCAACUGUUUAUUAAAAACACAGCACUGUGCAAACACGAAAGUGGACGUAUACGGUGUGACGCCUGCCCGGUGCCGGAAGGUUAAUUGAUGGGGUUAUCCGUAAGGAGAAGCUCUUGAUCGAAGCCCCGGUAAACGGCGGCCGUAACUAUAACGGUCCUAAGGUAGCGAAAUUCCUUGUCGGGUAAGUUCCGACCUGCACGAAUGGCGUAAUGAUGGCCAGGCUGUCUCCACCCGAGACUCAGUGAAAUUGAACUCGCUGUGAAGAUGCAGUGUACCCGCGGCAAGACGGAAAGACCCCGUGAACCUUUACUAUAGCUUGACACUGAACAUUGAGCCUUGAUGUGUAGGAUAGGUGGGAGGCUUUGAAGCGUGGACGCCAGUCUGCGUGGAGCCAACCUUGAAAUACCACCCUUUAAUGUUUGAUGUUCUAACGUUGGCCCCUAAUCGGGGUUGCGGACAGUGUCUGGUGGGUAGUUUGACUGGGGCGGUCUCCUCCCAAAGCGUAACGGAGGAGCACGAAGGUUAGCUAAUCCUGGUCGGACAUCAGGAGGUUAGUGCAAUGGCAUAAGCUAGCUUGACUGCGAGCGUGACGGCGCGAGCAGGUGCGAAAGCAGGUCAUAGUGAUCCGGUGGUUCUGAAUGGAAGGGCCAUCGCUCAACGGAUAAAAGGUACUCCGGGGAUAACAGGCUGAUACCGCCCAAGAGUUCAUAUCGACGGCGGUGUUUGGCACCUCGAUGUCGGCUCAUCACAUCCUGGGGCUGAAGUAGGUCCCAAGGGUAUGGCUGUUCGCCAUUUAAAGUGGUACGCGAGCUGGGUUUAGAACGUCGUGAGACAGUUCGGUCCCUAUCUGCCGUGGGCGCUGGAGAAUUGAGGGGGGCUGCUCCUAGUACGAGAGGACCGGAGUGGACGCAUCACUGGUGUUCGGGUUGUCAUGCCAAUGGCACUGCCCGGUAGCUAAAUGCGGAAGAGAUAAGUGCUGAAAGCAUCUAAGCACGAAACUUGCCCCGAGAUGAGUUCUCCCUGAGACUUUAAGUCUCCUGAAGGAACGUUGAAGACGACGACGUUGAUAGGCCGGGUGUGUAAGCGCAGCGAUGCGUUGAGCUAACCGGUACUAAUGAACCGUGAGGCUUAACCUUACAACGCCGAAG